UCUCAUUCCUUUUUCACAAUGACACCCCACUUUUUAAUUCUCAUCAUGCUGGCUGCCUUCUCCAAAGGUGGCUUUUCCCAGGUAGCUCUGACCCAAUCAGACCCAGUCGUGAAGAAACCAGGAGAAUCCCAUAAACUGACUUGCACUGUCACUGGAUUCAAUGUUAACAGCUACUAUAUGGAUUGGAUCAGGCAGAAACCUGGCCAAGGACUGGAAUGGCUUGUUCACUACUACACAUCCAGUAGCAACUAUUAUUCACCAACAAUCCAAGGACGGUUUACUGCCUCCAAGGACAGUUCCAACUUCUAUUUGCAAAUGAACAACCUAAAAGCUGAAGACACGGCUGUCUAUUACUGUGCAAGAGACACAGUGAAAUAG
Notechis scutatus (mainland tiger snake) is the source of this 378-nucleotide non-coding RNA. Lineage: Eukaryota; Metazoa; Chordata; Lepidosauria; Squamata; Elapidae. The record is from the annotation of a RefSeq genome assembly.